This 450-nucleotide ribosomal RNA is filed under the name uncultured bacterium. RNAcentral's name for it is "bacterial SSU rRNA". It matches the Rfam family "Bacterial small subunit ribosomal RNA", at positions 354 to 796 of the family's 1533-position model. The record is from RNAcentral.
GUGGGGAAUAUUGGACAAUGGGCGAAAGCCUGAUCCAGCCAUGCCGCGUGUGUGAAGAAGGUCUACGGAUUGUAAAGCACUUUAAGUUGGGAGGAAGGGCAGUAAGUUAAUACCUUGCUGUUUUGACGUUACCGACAGAAUAAGCACCGGCUAACUUCGUGCCAGCAGCCGCGGUAAUACGAAGGGUGCAAGCGUUAAUCGGAAUUACUGGGCGUAAAGCGCGCGUAGGUGGUUUUGUAAGUUGGAGGUGAAAUCCCCGGGCUCAACCUGGGAACUGCCUCCAAAACUGCAUGACUAGAGUACGGUAGAGGGUAGUGGAAUUUCCUGUGUAGCGGUGAAAUGCGUAGAUAUAGGAAGGAACACCAGUGGCGAAGGCGACUACCUGGACUGAUACUGACACUGAGGUGCGAAAGCGUGGGGAGCAAACAGGAUUAGAAACCCUUGUAGUCC